UACGUAGGGGGCAAGCGUUGUCCGGAAUCAUUGGGCGUAAAGAGCGUGUAGGCGGUCCGGUAAGUCCGCUGUGAAAGUCGGGGGCUCAACCCUCGAAUGCCGGUGGAUACUGUCGGGCUAGAGUGCGGAAGAGGCGAGUGGAAUUCCUGGUGUAGCGGUGAAAUGCGCAGAUAUCAGGAGGAACACCGGUGGCGAAGGCGGGUCUCUGGGCCGUAACUGACGCUGAGGAGCGAAAGCAUGGGGAGCGAACAGG
This 253-nucleotide ribosomal RNA is filed under the name uncultured bacterium. Its description in RNAcentral is "partial 16S ribosomal RNA". It matches the Rfam family "Bacterial small subunit ribosomal RNA", at positions 524 to 776 of the family's 1533-position model. The record is from RNAcentral.